UGUGAUGCUCAAAAUCUCUUCAAGACUGGU
Molecule: non-coding RNA, 30 nt
Filed under: Homo sapiens (human)
Lineage: Eukaryota; Metazoa; Chordata; Mammalia; Primates; Hominidae
Source: RNAcentral